GAUGAACGCUGGCGGCGUGCCUAAUACAUGCCAGUCGAGCGAACGGACGAGAAGCUUGCUUCUCUGAUGUUAGCGGCGGACGGGUGAGUAACACGUGGAUAACCUACCUAUAAUACUGGGAUAACUUCGGGAAACCGGAGCUAAUACCGGAUAAUAUUUUGAACCGCAUGGUUCAAAAGUGAAACACGGUCUUGCUGUAACUUCUAGAUGGAUCCGCGCUGCAUUAUCUAGUUGGGAAGGUAACGGGUUAUCAAGGCAACGAUGCAUAGACGAACUGAUAGGGUGAUCGGCCACACUGGAACUGAGACACGGUCCAGACUCCUGCGGGAGGCAGCAGUAGGGAAUCUUCCGCAAUGGGCGAAAGCCUGACGGAGCAACGCCGCGUGAGUGAUGAAGGUCUUCGGAGCGUAAAACUCUGUUAUUAGGGAAGAACAUAUGUGUAAGUAACUGUGCACAUCUUGACGGUACCUAAUCAGAAAGCCACGGCUAACUACGUG
Molecule: ribosomal RNA, 497 nt
Filed under: uncultured bacterium
Lineage: Bacteria
Description: partial 16S ribosomal RNA
Rfam family: Bacterial small subunit ribosomal RNA
Source: RNAcentral